GACGAACGCUGGCGGCGUGCUUAACACAUGCAAGUCGAACGGAAAGGCCCUGCUUUUGUGGGGUGCUCGAGUGGCGAACGGGUGAGUAACACGUGAGUAACCUGCCCUUGACUUUGGGAUAACUUCAGGAAACUGGGGCUAAUACCGGAUAGGAGCUCCUGCUGCAUGGUGGGGGCUGGAAAGUUUCAGCGGUUGGGGAUGGACUCGCGGCUUAUCAGCUUGUUGGUGGGGUAGUGGCUUACCAAGGCUUUGACGGGUAGCCGGCCUGAGAGGGUGACCGGCCACAUUGGGACUGAGAUACGGCCCAGACUCCUACGGGAGGCAGCAGUGGGGAAUAUUGCACAAUGGGCGGAAGCCUGAUGCAGCAACGCCGCGUGCGGGAUGACGGCCUUCGGGUUGUAAACCGCUUUCGCCUGUGACGAAGCGUGAGUGACGGUAAUGGGUAAAGAAGCACCGGCUAACUACGUG
Molecule: ribosomal RNA, 468 nt
Filed under: uncultured bacterium
Lineage: Bacteria
Description: partial 16S ribosomal RNA
Rfam family: Bacterial small subunit ribosomal RNA
Source: RNAcentral